UGAAUACGAGAUGCUACGGCGUCGAAGCAGUCUAUGUCAUACUUCCAAGAAAAGCUUGCACUGUCAUAAACAAAUAAUGCCUGUACCAUAACCGACACAGGUGGGUAGGUAGAGUAUACUAAGGGGCGCGAGAUAACUCUCUCUAAGGAACUCGGCAAAAUGACUCCGUAACUUCGGGAGAAGGAGUGCCUUAUUUAUAAGGUUGCAAUAACAAGAUCCAAGCAACUGUUUACCAAAAACACGGGUCUCCGCUAAGUCGUAAGACGAUGUAUGGGGGCUGACGCCUGCCCAGUGCCAGAAGGUUAAAGAAGUUGGUUAGCAUCCGCGAAGCUGAUAACUGAAGCCCUGGUGAACGGCGGCCGUAACGAUAACGGUCCUAAGGUAGCGAAAUUCCUUGUCGGGUAAGUUCCGACCCGCACGAAAGGCGUAAUGAUUUGGAUACUGUCUCGGAGAGGGGCUCGGUGAAAUAGACUUGUCUGUGAAGAUGCGGACUACCUGCACCAGGACAGAAAGACCCUAUGAAGCUUUACUGUAACCUGAAAUUGAAAUUGGACUUUACUUGCGCAGUAUAGGUGGGAGGCGUUGAGAAUAUUCUUGCGGGAUUAUUGGAGCCAUCAGUGAGAUACCACUCUUGUAAUGUUAGAUUUCUAACUUUGUAUCAUUAUCUGGUCAAAGAACAGUUUCAGGCGGGCAGUUUGACUGGGGCGGUCGCCUCCUAAACGGUAACGGAGGCGCACAAAGGUUUCCUCUGAACGGGUAGAAAUCGUAUCUAGAGUGUAAAGGCAUAAGGAAGCUUGACUGUGAGACCUACAAGUCGAGCAGGGACGAAAGUCGGUCUUAGUGAUCUGACGGUGCUGAGUGGAAAGGCCGUCACUCAACGGAUAAAAGUUACUCUAGGAUAACAGGCUGAUCUCCCCCAAGAGUUCACAUCGACGGGGAGGUUUGGCACCUCGAUGUCGGCUCAUCGCAUCCUGGGGCGGUAGUACGUCCCAAGGGUUGGGCUGUUCGCCCAUGAAAGCGGUACGCGAGCUGGGUUCAGAACGUCGUGAGACAGUUCGGUCCAUAUCCGGUGUAGGCGUUAGAAUAUUGAGAGGAGCCUUCUUUAGUACGAGAGGACCGAGAAGGACAUACCUCUGGUGUACCAGUUAUCGUGCCAACGGUAAACGCUGGGUAGCUAUGUGUGGAGUGGAUAACCGCUGAAAGCAUCUAAGUGGGAAGCCCACCUCAAGAUAAGUAUUCUCA
This 1242-nucleotide ribosomal RNA is filed under the name metagenome. RNAcentral's name for it is "bacterial LSU rRNA". It matches the Rfam family "Bacterial large subunit ribosomal RNA", at positions 1564 to 2816 of the family's 2925-position model. The record is from RNAcentral.